GACGAACGCUGGCGGCGUGCUUAACACAUGCCAGUCGAACGGAAAGGCCCUGCUUGCAGGGUACUCGAGUGGCGAACGGGUGAGUAACACGUGGGUGAUCUGCCCUGCACUUCGGGAUAAGCCUGGGAAACUGGGUCUAAUACCGGAUAGGAGCCAUUUUUAGUGUGAUGGUUGGAAAGUUUUUUCGGUGUAGGAUGAGCUCGCGGCCUAUCAGCUUGUUGGUGGGGUAAUGGCCUACCAAGGCGGCGACGGGUAGCCGGCCUGAGAGGGUGGACGGCCACAGUGGGACUGAGAGACGGCCCAGACUCCGACGGGAGGCAGCAGUGGGGAAUAUUGCACAAUGGGCGCAAGCCGGAUGCAGCGACGCCGCGGGGGGGAUGACGGCCUUCGGGUUGUAAACUCCUUUCGCUAGGGACGAAGCUUUUUGUGACGGUACCUAGAUAAGAAGCACCGGCUAACUACGUG
Molecule: ribosomal RNA, 465 nt
Filed under: uncultured bacterium
Lineage: Bacteria
Description: partial 16S ribosomal RNA
Rfam family: Bacterial small subunit ribosomal RNA
Source: RNAcentral